This 460-nucleotide ribosomal RNA is filed under the name uncultured bacterium. RNAcentral describes it as "bacterial SSU rRNA". It matches the Rfam family "Bacterial small subunit ribosomal RNA", at positions 29 to 531 of the family's 1533-position model. The record is from RNAcentral.
AACGAACGCUGGCGGCAGGCUUAACACAUGCAAGUCGAACGAUGUAGCAAUACAUAGUGGCGCACGGGUGAGUAACGCGUGGGAAUAUACCUUAUAGUGGGGAAUAACUUUGGGAAACUAAAGCUAAUACCGCAUACGCCCGAGAGGGGAAAGAUUUAUCGCUAUAAGAUUAGCCCGCGUGAGAUUAGGUAGUUGGUGGGGUAAUGGCCUACCAAGCCUACGAUCUCUAGCUGGUCUGAGAGGAUGAUCAGCCACACUGGAACUGAGCCACGGUCCAGACUCCUACGGGAGGCAGCAGUGGGGAAUAUUGGGCAAUGGGCGCAAGCCUGAUCCAGCCAUGCCGCGUGAGUGAUGAAGGUCUUAGGAUUGUAAAGCUCUUUCACCGAUGAAGAUAAUGACGGUAGUCGGAGAAGAAGCCCCGGCUAACUUCGUGCCAGCAGCCGCGGUAAAGUGACUACUG